GAUAGAACUAAAUGAGGAAGAAAUAAUAAUUAGAAAUCUGAACUUGAAGCAGAUCCACAGGAUGUGAGGCUCUUCAUUUUGAAUCACUGGCAAAAUUACUUGUGCAAAUAAUCAGCCAAUAUUUGGUGAGAAACUGAAUUUUCAAGCAGUGAAAAAUAGUCCCAGAAUCCACAUAUCACAUCAAAGGGUCUUGGGACUCUCCUCCUUGCUUCCUCUGCCACCCACCGUUAACAGUGAUUAGACCACAUGAAUUGGUCUUCCUCCAGUUGUCACCACAGGCUUCUCACAAACUGGGAUGUAUCUGAAGUAAAAUGACCUUCUCAUUUGGAAGAGGACUACCAUUUAAUCCAGGAUCUAUCACUGCAUUAUCCAUAUUUAAUUUGAUUUUGUUUUACCUCAUUCUUAUUUAUAUUUAGUCAUAAAUUUGUGACUCUCUACAAUGGGUAAUAUUUUAUCAUGUUGUUCAUAUUAAUCUAUUUUCUUAUAUUUUGUUAUUCUUAUAAGAUACCAAUUACACUGGAUAUCCUAAUUCAAUUUGUUUCAAUUCCAAAUCCUUCCCUAGCUCUUGAAAACAUAAGCAAGGAGACUCUAAACCUAACAUAUGUAACCAAAUGAUGUUAUGAUUGCCAAAAUGAAUAUAUCAACAUGCUGGAAUUUGGCUACUAUGGCCAAGAUCUUUACUCUCUUUUUAUAACAUAACUUCCUUUUAUGGUUUCAUAUUUCCUUUUCCUUUUUCUUUUUUUCUUAAAUUACCCAAGCAGUUUUUGUUUUGUCAGGAAAAAAAAAAAAAAAAGAUUUAAGUCUUCCUCUAAUUGAGCUUAAGGCUUUGCUACAAAUUUAACAUAUUGCUUUCUAACUAGGAGUAUGCUUGGUUAACUCAAUUUAUAUUUUGUGUAUUAUAGAACAGGUGUUCCCAAGAUUACUGGUACAGAGAGGAAAAUCUCUAUCAAAAAGAUAAAUUACUUAAUUUGUUCUCUUACUUUUUUAGUAGAAUCUUAGUGAAAUUUUCCUAAAACCCAACAUACAAUAUUUGUUUAUCUCUCACUCUUAAAAUGUCUUAAAAUUUUUGACUGCAAGAAAAACUUAUUACAUUUGCAUUAAGCCUAAAUUACCAGUAGAAGUUGCCCUAUUGCGAUACAUGUAUUCUUCAAAAUUACGUACAUUUUACAAUAAAUUUUGUAUUUGAGUUUGCUCAGAGCCUUAAGAUACAGUUUCAGUCAAACCAUAAAUAUCACACUAGAUAAUACCAGGGCAAUGCAAUUUACUGUAUAACUGAGAUCUGGCCAUUGUUUUAUUUAUUUAUUUUUAAUAUUUUUAUUUUUAUUUUUUUAAGAUUUUAUUUAUUUAUUUGAGACAGAGAGAAUGAGAGACAGAGAGCAUGAGAGGGAGGAGGGUCAGAGGGAGAAGCAGACUCCCUUCCGAGCAGGGAGCCCGAUGCGGGACUCGAUCCCGGGACUCCAGGAUCACGACCUGAGCCGAAGGCAGUCGCUUAACCAACUGAGCCACCCAGGUGCCCUGGCCAUUGUUUUAAUAAGGUUAGUCUAGAUAAUACUGAAUUCCCAGUAGCUUGAAACCACUGAGCUUUUUUGAAGACAUGUUACCUUCCUGUUGCAGGUUGGCUCAGGUGAUUAGGAAUUCAGGAACCAGGUAUGAUGGAGAUCCAACAAUGUUGUAGCUACACACUCUUGAAUAUGUAGCUUCCUAUUUGUGGGUCAGAAGAGACAGAUAAAGGAUCACAGGCCUGCUCUUCAACGAUCUAGCUUAAGAGCAAAUGCAUCUCGGGGCAGUUGGUUAAGCUCCCAACUCUUGGUUUCAGCUCAGGUCCUGAUCGCAGGGUCAUGAGAUCAAGCCCCACAUCAGGCUCUGUGCUCAGCACAGAAUCUGCUUGAGAUUCUCUUUCUCUCCCUCUGCCCCUCACCCCCCACACUUGCUCUCUCUCUCAUGUUCUCUCUCUCACUCUCUCUCCUGCUCUCUCAUGUUUUCUCUCUUUAAAAUAAAUAAAUGUAUCUUUUUUAAAAAAGAAACAUGAAUGUAUCUCUUGUGAUCAUAGUCCAUUGGCCAGCACUUGCCACGUGGCCUCAUCUGAGUGCUGGCUGGGCAAUGGGAUGCUGGUCUCUAUGCAGCCCCCUCUCAGUUGCCUUGCUCUCAGGAAAGGUACCUCCUAGGCUUGUACAGUGUCAGGCAUUCUUCUCAACAACAGCCUCAAAAGAAUGACUGCUUGGUGGCGGGGAGAGAAAAAGGUCCCAGCCUCUGACUGAUUCCAACAUCUCUGGAGAACCAUUGCACUCCGCAGCUUCAGAGGGCGGCUGGAGCCAUUGGGCGUCUUCCCUUUCUGCUCACUUGUUCUUUCACCACAGGAGCUGAUCCUGAGAGCAAUUUCCAACAAAUUUUCUGCAAGCAAAUCCUUGACGCAGAGUUGGCUUCUCAGGGAGCUUGACCUGUGGGUCACCACCUACAUUGCAAUCA
Long non-coding RNA from Mirounga angustirostris (Northern elephant seal), 2466 nucleotides. RefSeq lists it as uncharacterized. Lineage: Eukaryota; Metazoa; Chordata; Mammalia; Carnivora; Phocidae. The transcript has 3 exons. The record is from RefSeq and is a predicted model, not a curated record.